UAAAAGAGGCCCCCUGGCUGUGUGCU
RNAcentral lists this non-coding RNA (26 nucleotides) under Mus musculus (house mouse). The record is from RNAcentral. Lineage: Eukaryota; Metazoa; Chordata; Mammalia; Rodentia; Muridae.